UACGGAGGGUGCGAGCGUUAUUCGGAUUUAUUGGGCGUAAAGGGCGCGUAGGCGGCCGGGCAAGUCUGGUGUGAAAACGCUACCGCUCACCGGAGCGAAUGCGCUGGAUACUGCUUGGCUUGAGUUCGAGAGAGGUUGGCGGAAUACCUGGUGUAGCGGUGGAAUGCGUAGAUAUCAGGUAGAACACCUGUGGCGAAGGCGGCCAACUGGCUCGACACUGACGCUGAGGCGCGAAAGCGUGGGGAGCAAACGGGAUUAGAAACCCUUGUAGU
This 272-nucleotide ribosomal RNA is filed under the name uncultured bacterium. RNAcentral describes it as "partial 16S ribosomal RNA". It matches the Rfam family "Bacterial small subunit ribosomal RNA", at positions 524 to 794 of the family's 1533-position model. The record is from RNAcentral.